GUCGAGGGGUAGCAGGGUAGCAAUACCGCUGACGACCGGCGCACGGGUGAGUAACACGUAUCCAACCUUCCCAUAACUCGGGGAUAGCCUUUCGAAAGAAAGAUUAAUACCCGAUAGUACUUUUUUAGGGCAUCUUAGAAAAGUUAAAGAUUUAUUGGUUAUGGAUGGGGAUGCGUUCCAUUAGAUAGUUGGUGAGGUAACGGCUCACCAAGUCUUCGAUGGAUAGGGGUUCUGAGAGGAAGGUCCCCCACAUUGGUACUGAGACACGGACCAAACUCCUACGGGAGGCAGCAGUGAGGAAUAUUGGUCAAUGGGCGAGAGCCUGAACCAGCCAAGUAGCGUGAAGGAUGACGG
This 354-nucleotide ribosomal RNA is filed under the name uncultured Bacteroidales bacterium. RNAcentral's name for it is "bacterial SSU rRNA". It matches the Rfam family "Bacterial small subunit ribosomal RNA", at positions 61 to 414 of the family's 1533-position model. The record is from RNAcentral. Lineage: Bacteria; Pseudomonadati; Bacteroidota; Bacteroidia; Bacteroidales.